GCCGGGGGUGGUGGUGUGCACCCAUAAUCCCAGCUACUCAGGAGGCCGAGGCGGGAGGAUUGCUUGAGUCCAGGAGGUCAAGGCUGCAGUGAGCUAUGAUCGCACCACUGCACUCCAGCCUGGGCAACAGAGUAAGACCCUGUCUCAA
Pongo abelii (Sumatran orangutan) is the source of this 148-nucleotide unclassified non-coding RNA. It matches the Rfam family "Metazoan signal recognition particle RNA". From Rfam's summary of the family: The signal recognition particle (SRP) is a universally conserved ribonucleoprotein. It is involved in the co-translational targeting of proteins to membranes. Lineage: Eukaryota; Metazoa; Chordata; Mammalia; Primates; Hominidae. The record is from Ensembl.